This 209-nucleotide unclassified non-coding RNA is filed under the name Hevea brasiliensis (rubber tree). Lineage: Eukaryota; Viridiplantae; Streptophyta; Magnoliopsida; Malpighiales; Euphorbiaceae. The record is from RNAcentral.
UGAGAAGAUUGGUGAAGAAAACACACAAGGGUGAGUUCCAAGUAGAAGUUGAACCUGAGGAUAGUGUCUCUGUGGAGGUUGCUGUUGGGGCAAGUUCACUCACUCGUAUGCAACCCAAACCAAAGCAGGACAUCUCUUUACCCUCCAAACCUGAUCAAAUGCAAGCUAAAGGAAAUGCUGUUAGUGAAAAGAGUUGUUCAGAGGACCAG